CACGUAGGCACCAAGCGUUGUCCGGAUUUAUUGGGCGUAAAGAGCUCGUAGGCGGUUCGGUAAGUCGGGUGUGAAAACUCUGGGCUCAACCCAGAGCCGCCACCCGAUACUGCUGUGACUUGAGUUCGGUAGGGGAGCGGGGAAUUCCUGGUGUAGCGGUGAAAUGCGCAGAUAUCAGGAAGAACACCAAUGGCGAAAGCAGCUCUCUGGGACGGUACUGACGCUGAGACGCGAAAGCGUGGGGAGCGAACAGG
This 254-nucleotide ribosomal RNA is filed under the name uncultured bacterium. RNAcentral's name for it is "partial 16S ribosomal RNA". It matches the Rfam family "Bacterial small subunit ribosomal RNA", at positions 524 to 776 of the family's 1533-position model. The record is from RNAcentral.